RNAcentral lists this long non-coding RNA (4299 nucleotides) under Salmo salar (Atlantic salmon). RNAcentral's name for it is "lncRNA (ENSSSAG00000104105.1)". The record is from RNAcentral. Lineage: Eukaryota; Metazoa; Chordata; Actinopteri; Salmoniformes; Salmonidae.
AUACACAGCACAGAAGCCAGAAGUUUUAUGAGUCGGUCUACCUAGCUUCACCCUUCACACAGAGGGCUUCACAGUACAGUACAUUAGCACCUGAUGAUUGAUUGAGAUGAUGGACAUAGCUCAUGGUAAAAUAAUCUACAUGGUGAUUUUCAAAGGUUAACCUAUAGCCUACAGGUGGAGACGUGUAAGGACUAAUUGCUCAUGGGAUCGCUACAUAUCUCAUUACCUGUAUCAUAGCCCUGAGAAAUACCUCUGGAACUAAAGCAGUCCCCAGACUAGUUGUCAAGAUCAUAGGCAGCAAACAGGUCAAGUAUUUCAUCACAGAAGAGACAGACAAGGUGAAUGGAGCAGCUAUUCCUCUGGCGGUUGUGGGUAAUGUGAUGAAGGAACCACCAGACAAACAGGACUCUAUAGUGGCCAGAUCACACAGACAAGCUGAGGCUGAGGGGGGUGUGGGGUCAGCUUUUCAGGCUACGCUCCACAAGGCCCCAAACAGACUGUGUGUGACAGCUCCCUCUGGUGACCGUUCCCUGUCCUACAUCCAUCAGAAGAACCCAGCUGUCAUAAGAACUGAACUCAGAGUAGGAACAGCAGCAAGGGCAUCUGAGGAGGAGAAGGCAGUUAACCCACUGUUCCCCGGGCACCGAAGACGUGGAUGUCGAAGAACAGGAAGACUGUCUCUCAUUGGCCAUCAGUGAGCAGCUGGCUGACUGGCAGGCUUCUUCACCCCUGAGGACCAUUCAGGAGGAAGUUGUUGCAAUUGAACCUGCCCUCAAAGGGACCAUCAGCCAAUCACAGAUCACUCAGGCGUUUCUGAGACACGAGGUUCCACUGGGAUUAACAACGUUCCGUCAGCUCCUCCUAAUGUUCUGUGAUGCUGACCAUCCAGCUCAGGCAGAGUUUGGGCAUGUGUCUCACACGAGGAGUCCCCAGGGGUUGCACUGAGCCCCCACCAGCUUCUGUGGAUCCCAUGGAAACAGAAAGAUGGCUCCAAGGGUUCCAGAGAAUGGAGAGAGCCAUGCACAUAUGUGACAGCCAGAACACUGGUUACAUAGACCAGGACAAAGCCAGACGUCUGAUUCAGAACUACAACCACAUGUUCAACCUGAACCUGAGUCCCCUGGGGAUCAGUGAGGUCACCCAUGGUCAUGGAGGGAGAAGACAGGGCAAUGUCCACCUGGACACAGCCCUACAGUACCUAAAGGAACUGUGAUGAAGGUGUUUGAGUGAGCAGAGACAGACCCUCCUUCAACCCUGUCCACACCUAAAUAGAAGAGGCUAUUUCAGCCACUCAUGGAGGACAAAGCUGAUUUUAAAAUAAAUAUUUGUUUUGAAAAACCAAUUUGUUUCAGCAUGUAGCCUUCAUCUGGAUUUUAUAGACAGAAGAGGUCAUUUGGGACAUACUGUAGAACAAAAGGGGCUUUUCGUCAACACCUCCUAUGGCUCUCCCCCAGUCAGGCUCCACAGCAGGUCAGGGGCUACCAGGACAGUCAGUAUAGCCAGGGCUAACAGCCACAGCAUCAGUCUCACCAGAUUCAGCACACACCACUGGGCCCACCGACGCAUUGUAUCUGGAUAGAAUAGGUCCUAAGGGUGGUCAAUAUAGUGGCAUCAAUACAAUGAUCCUAUUGAAUUAUUCUGAUUCUAUGUGGAAUUCUCUGUGCAUCAAUGUCAGUAUAAUUUGGAGUGAAAACAGAGAAAAUGAAGGUGUUAUGAUUAGUGUCUUAUCUUUUGUCCACUCACCUUGCAAUCUUGACAUAAAACUGUGCCUGAUGUUUAUGUUGUUGUGAUUUUCCAAACAUUGUGCUCUAGAAUUCAGAGGUGAUUUAGAACAGGUCAGCGGCACUUCCAGUUAUGAGAUGGGAAAAUAACAAUUAUGAAAGCUGUACAAUUUGUAUGGAUUAACGCAAAGACAUUUAAAACCUAGGCUAGCCGACUGCUUGAAAUCAUACUAUCUUUCGGGGAAGGUGUAUUGCUGUUAAGAAUGUCAAUAAACCACUCCCAUGAAGCGAUGGACAACAAGGAUGCAUUUGAUUGUUUCAUUUCUGUGAAACCGAAAGUAAAAUAUCGACUUGAGGAGAGCAACUGAAAAACUGUUUGGUAAGUUUUAUUCUACAAUUACGUUAAGUAUUCGUACCUGUUGUAUCUUGUUUUAUAUGUUGCAGCUUUUAAAUAUUUAGUUAUAACUUUAAUAAAUAGCAAACGAAGAAUGAGCCAGUGCUCGAGAGCCUAUGCCUGUAAAGUUGUCUGCCUAGUGACGACAGGUAGCUCAGUAAACACCUGAGUUUUGAACUUCAUUGAACAUAACCUCAUUAUUGUACUACAGUAGCCGUAAAUGCCUGAGGUUUGAACAUCAUUGAACAUAACUACGGUGUUGUACUACAACAGAUAUUCAUUGUUGAAGUAUCCAGCAGCAAAGACAGAUGAUGGGGAAAGAGAACCAACAUAGACCAUUAACCAUGAGCUAUAGAGACGCCCUUCAAACGCAAUCUAACACAGUAAGGACUUCUGCUAGACCAGCAGCCUCUACUACUGCCCAGAAUAGUUACCUGACUAGACUGAGGAGCAGCCUGCAUGACCUGAUGAACCAGCACCCAGAGGGAGUACCCCUUUCCCGUAUGAGUCAGGCCUGCUCUCUCCUCCUGCACCCGGAGGUACUUAAGCCCUACCCCUCCACCAGGUACCUCUUGGCCUCCCUCCCCGAUGUGGUGAGGCUUCAGGGGAUCGGGGUACAGACACUGGUGCUCCCAGCACUAGGCCAUUGUGGAGGUGGGACGGAUGCCGGUCGUGUUGGUUGUCGCUAGCCUUCUUGACCUAUGCCAAGCAGGGACCAGGCCGUCCGCAAAGAGACCGAUUUCAAGAUUCCAAUCAAAGUCAAGCCAACGGAAGAACCUCAAAUGUACACGGCCCAUAACGAUAUCAGGGAAAAGCAUUAGGGAAGUCUACAUACAAGACAAUGGCACAUCCUACAAGACGGGAUACACACAAUCAACACAUUCUUACCAUGAAAGUACACGCCUGUGAAUUACAGAUUGAUGAUUUUUUACAUUUUUAGACUGUGGAAAUACAAUUCAUUCAAUGAUUUUAUAUACAUAUAUAUAUACAUACACACACACAUACAUAUACACACACACACACAGAUAUAUAUAUAUACAUAUAUAUACACACACACAUACACAUAUAUAUAGUAUACACACACAGAUAUAUAUAUACAUAUAGAUAUACAUACAUAUACAUAUAUAGAUAUACAUAUAUAUACAUAUAUAUACACACACACACAUAUAUAUAUAUAUAUAUAUAUAUACACACACAUAUAUAUAUACACACAUAUAUGAUACAGCAUGGCAAACAAGAUUUCACUUUAAAGUGUACAUGUUUGAACAUAGACACUUUGUACCCAAUUUUAUUCAUGUUUGACAGAUUUUAGACAAGUAAACCUAGAACAAUACAUAAAUCAAUCAUUGUUGUACAGCGUCAAUUGGAUUAUAUUUAUCUUAGGUAAUUACUUUAUUUUGAUAGAGUGAUAAGCUACAUACUUUACCAUAUCAUACAGUUUUCUAAACAUUUGAAUAAAACAUUCUGAAAGACAUGGAACGUGCUUUUUUUCGCCUCAAACUGAACAGGCAAGGUCUAUUCUGUCAUGUUAAGUUCUUGGUAAAAGCUUAGCGUGCACAAGGUCACAUCCAUUCAACAGCACUGUACAAUAACACACCCACUACCUCUCCAACACUCUAGUCAUCUUACUUUCCCACACAACCUUUAACAUACAGUACAUUAAAGUCAAAAUAAACCAAAAACAUUGAAUGACACUGAGGGGCAACGUUGUUACAUUUAAUGCCCGUACACAUGCAUACACACACACUCAUUCACACGUAACUAGUGCCAUACAUGCACUCAAAAGUAUUCAGUUGUCCUUGAUUUCUUGCAUAUUUUCCUUUGUUUUUCACUUUAGUUCAUUGUUGCUACAUUGGGGGACGGGGAAUGGAAUCAUUUUAUUAUGAUUUUUUAUUUUUUUCAGGGGUGGUGGGUCUCGGAUGAUUGAGGGGCAGCUCUUGGGAACUUUGGGGGGGGGGAUCUUGGAGGGCUGGUGGCCUGGCGGUUGAGAACUUGGGCCGGUGGCUGAUAGGUUCCUGGGUCGGGUCCCUGUUUCUGACCAUGUGGGAGAUCUGUCGGCAUGCCCUUGGGCAGGACGUUGACCCUGGUUGCUUCUGUGGGUCCCUCUGGAUGGGAGUCUGUUAGAUGACAAUGGAUUUUUGUUGAGCGGCUGUACUGCAGGUAGAUUGUAUGUUUAAUAUUCAG